AGCAGCCGCGGUAAUUCCAGCUCCAAUAGCGUAUAUUAAAGUUGUUGCAGUUAAAAAGCUCGUAGUUGAAUUUCGGGGUCAGUAGGUUGGUCAUGCCACUGGUAUGUACUGGUCUCACUGAUUCCUCCUUCCUGAUGAACUGUAAUGCCAUUAAUUUGGCGUUGCAGGGAAUCUGGACUGUUACUUUGAAAAAAUUAGAGUGUUUAAAGCAGGCUAACGCCUGAAUACAUUAGCAUGGAAUAAUGAAAUAGGACGUUCGAUCCUAUUUUGUUGGUUUCUAGGAUUGACGUAAUGAUUAAUAGGGAUAGUUGGGGGCAUUAGUAUUCAAUUGUCAGAGGUGAAAUUCUUGGAUUUAUUGAAGACUAACUACUGCGAAAGCAUUUGCCAAGGAUGUUUUCAUUAAUCAAGAACGAAAGUUAGGGGAUCGAAGACGAUCAGAUACCGUCGUAGUCUUAACCAUAAACUAUGCCGACUAGGGAUCGGAUGAUGCUAAUUUUUAAUGACCCAUUC
This 510-nucleotide ribosomal RNA is filed under the name uncultured Glomus. Its description in RNAcentral is "SSU rRNA". It matches the Rfam family "Eukaryotic small subunit ribosomal RNA", at positions 569 to 1081 of the family's 1831-position model. The record is from RNAcentral. Lineage: Eukaryota; Fungi; Glomeromycota; Glomeromycetes; Glomerales; Glomeraceae.